RNAcentral lists this long non-coding RNA (445 nucleotides) under Marmota monax (woodchuck). The record is from RNAcentral. Lineage: Eukaryota; Metazoa; Chordata; Mammalia; Rodentia; Sciuridae.
GAAAACACACAAAUUUCAGAUUUGUAUCUUUUAUCAUUUUUCUCCAGGAUUGAAAUGUCAAAGGAUGCACUUCCUGAGAAAGCAUGCCAGUUGGACAGUCGCUAUUGGAGAAUAACAAAUGCCAAGGGUGAUGUAGAAGAAGUUCAAGGACCUGGAGUAGUUGGUAUGUAACUGAAGUUUUAGGUUUACACAUCAGUUUAUUCAAAGGAAUUUUAGACUUUGCCUCCAUAAAUGUGUUGUAUAGAUGUUGUUAUCAGUUAACUUUUCUAAGGCUAGGGGUAUAGCUCAGUGGUGUAGUGCUUGUCCAGCAGGUGUGAGGUCCUGGGUUCAAUCCCCAGCAAAACACACACACACACACAAAGUUAACUUUUCUAAAAUUAUACCAAACUCCAUUGUUCAGGCAUUGAUUUCUCUUCCUGAGGCUCAUUUGGGGUUAAUAUUCUUG